Molecule: unclassified non-coding RNA, 341 nt
Filed under: soil metagenome
Description: partial contains 5.8S ribosomal RNA, internal transcribed spacer 2, and large subunit ribosomal RNA
Rfam family: 5.8S ribosomal RNA (bases 1-120)
Source: RNAcentral
GAUGAAGAACGUAGCGAAAUGCGAUAAGUAAUGUGAAUUGCAGAAUUCAGUGAAUCAUCGAAUCUUUGAACGCACAUUGCGCCCGCCAGCACUCUGGCGGGCAUGCCUGUUCGAGCGUCAUUUCAACCAUCAAGCCCCCAGGGGCUUGUGCUGGGGCCCUGCGGCUGCCCGCAGGCCCUGAAAACCAGUGGCGGCUCGCUAGUCACACCGAGCGCAGUAGCACAUCUCGCUCAGGGCGUGCGGCGGGCUCCUGCCGUGAAACCCCCCACUGUAACCCCAAAGGUUGACCUCGGAUCAGGUAGGAAUACCCGCUGAACUUAAGCAUAUCAAUAAGCGGAGGA